GAGGAAAAGAAACCAACCGGGAUUGCCUUAGUAACGGCGAGUGAAGCGGCAAAAGCUCAAAUUUGAAAUCUGGUACCUUCGGUGCCCGAGUUGUAAUUUGGAGAGGGCAACUUUGGGGCCGUUCCUUGUCUAUGUUCCUUGGAACAGGACGUCAUAGAGGGUGAGAAUCCCGUGUGGCGAGGAGUGCGGUUCUUUGUAAAGUGCCUUCGAAGAGUCGAGUUGUUUGGGAAUGCAGCUCUAAGUGGGUGGUAAAUUCCAUCUAAAGCUAAAUAUUGGCGAGAGACCGAUAGCGAACAAGUACAGUGAUGGAAAGAUGAAAAGAACUUUGAAAAGAGAGUGAAAAAGUACGUGAAAUUGUUGAAAGGGAAGGGCAUUUGAUCAGACAUGGUGUUUUGUGCCCUCUGCUCCUUGUGGGUAGGGGAAUCUCGCAUUUCACUGGGCCAGCAUCAGUUUUGGUGGCAGGAUAAAUCCAUAGGAAUGUAGCUUGCCUCGGUAAGUAUUAUAGCCUGUGGGAAUACUGCCAGCUGGGACUGAGGACUGCGACGUAAGUCAAGGAUGCUGGCAUAAUGGUUAUAUGCCGCCCG
This 584-nucleotide ribosomal RNA is filed under the name Saccharomyces cerevisiae (brewer's yeast). RNAcentral's name for it is "eukaryotic LSU rRNA". It matches the Rfam family "Eukaryotic large subunit ribosomal RNA", at positions 53 to 651 of the family's 3401-position model. Lineage: Eukaryota; Fungi; Ascomycota; Saccharomycetes; Saccharomycetales; Saccharomycetaceae. The record is from RNAcentral.